GCAUGGUUGUCGUCAGCUCGUGUCGUGAGAUGUUGGGUUAAGUCCCGCAACGAGCGCAACCCCUAUCUUCAGUAGCCAGCGGAUHAGCCGGGCACUCUGGAGAGACUGCCAGGGAUAACCUGGAGGAAGGUGGGGACGACGUCAAAUCAUCAUGCCCCUUAUGAUYUGGGCGACACACGUGCUACAAUGGCGGUUACAAAGUGARGCGAACCCGCGAGGGGGAGCGAACCCCAAAAAGGCCGUCCCAGUUYGGACUGUAGUCUGCAACCCGACUACACSAAGCUGGAAUC
This 290-nucleotide ribosomal RNA is filed under the name uncultured bacterium. Its description in RNAcentral is "partial 16S ribosomal RNA". It matches the Rfam family "Bacterial small subunit ribosomal RNA", at positions 1043 to 1333 of the family's 1533-position model. The record is from RNAcentral.